UACAGAGGUGGCAAGCGUUGUUCGGAAUUACCGGGCGUAAAGCGCGUGUAGGCGGCUCUUCAAGUCAGGCGUGAAAGCCCCGGGCUCAACCCGGGAACUGCGCUUGAUACUGUCGAGCUAGAGUGUGGAAGGGGCGAUUGGAAUUCCGUGUGUAGCGGUGAAAUGCGUAGAUAUCGUAAGGAAGACCAGUGGCGAAGGCGGGUCUCUGGACAGUUCCUGACGCUGAGGCACGAAGGUCAGGGGAGCAAACGGG
RNAcentral lists this ribosomal RNA (253 nucleotides) under uncultured bacterium. Its description in RNAcentral is "partial 16S ribosomal RNA". It matches the Rfam family "Bacterial small subunit ribosomal RNA", at positions 524 to 776 of the family's 1533-position model. The record is from RNAcentral.